Helianthus annuus (common sunflower) is the source of this 388-nucleotide long non-coding RNA. RefSeq lists it as uncharacterized. Lineage: Eukaryota; Viridiplantae; Streptophyta; Magnoliopsida; Asterales; Asteraceae. The record is from RefSeq and is a predicted model, not a curated record. The transcript has 2 exons.
AAUUGAGUCGUCACAUAACACCGUGCACAUUGAGUUCACAAUUAUAUUGAAGGUUUAAAAAGUCGAAUCUUGUUCUUGCGUUGGCGAUGCUCCUUGUGAACAAAUAGGCGCGUGCACAAUGGUGAUGAACCGCCCUUUGGUUGAAAGGUCGGUUGAUGUUGGUUUUUGGUGUUUUAUGAUCAAGGUUCCGAUUGGUGACACAAAGUUUUGUAAAACGGUUCAACACAUAGAAAUGUAAUGUAUUAUGUUUAGAAUUCAAAGUUGUUUUAGAAUCAUUUCUAUCAGUUGAAGCAUGUACAUUAUAUGCCUUUUUAUUUGUAUCGAACAUUCCACAUAUUUGCAACAACUUGUAGAAGAAAACUCUUGACAUGAAUUUAUUUACAUCACC